GCCCUUCGUAGCAAUCAGGAGCUCAAUGUUGCAGCAGCAAGGUACAGAGGUGACAGCACAGCAAUGUGAAAGGCUGCUUCUGCAGUACUCCUAGCCUGAUGCCUAGGAAUAAGGAAUUGAGUUUGUGUCCUGAAUUUGGAUCCUAUACUGCCAAGAGAUAGGAAACAAUCAGUGGGGAGCCAUGUGAAUCUGAGAGCUUCGUCGAAUGUUGAGGCUUUGAGGAGGCAAUCGUCAAGGGGUUUGGAUUCCUAAGGACCGAAGGGUUUCCCUUGAGACCUUCAUUGAAUAAAGUACGUCAUUUGUGAUGGAAGCAAAGAGUUUGUCACCGUCAAAGGGAAGAUCUUCAAUGAUACUCUGGACCUCUCGAGGAAAGGAAGAGGAGAGCCAUGAACCUUGGCGCAUGACCACUCCUGUGGUGGUGGAUCUUGCUGCAGUAUUGGCUGCAUCGAGGGCCGCUUGAAGAGCGGUACGUGAUAUGAUUUGUCCCUCAGAAACUAGAGCUGUGAAUUGUUGCUUCUUUUCUUUUGGAAUGUCAUCAAUA
This is a long non-coding RNA of Mauremys mutica (yellowpond turtle), 541 nucleotides long. RefSeq lists it as uncharacterized. The record is from RefSeq and is a predicted model, not a curated record. The transcript has 3 exons. Lineage: Eukaryota; Metazoa; Chordata; Testudines; Geoemydidae.